Molecule: RNA transcript, 6234 nt
Organism: Pseudopipra pipra
Lineage: Eukaryota; Metazoa; Chordata; Aves; Passeriformes; Pipridae
Gene: TBCD
Gene name: tubulin folding cofactor D
Exons: 36
Source: RefSeq, a predicted model, not a curated record
CGGGAGGGACCGCGUGGUGCGGCCGGGCGGGGAGUGCGGGGCGGCGGCACCGACCUGCCCUGCCCCGUGUCACCGCACCGGGACCCGCCUGCCCCGUGUCACUGCACCGGGACGGGAUGGACGGAGCGGGGCCGGGGCCGGGGCCGGAGGAAGGCGAGGAGCGGGAGCCCGGGGCCGUCAGCGAGAGGAGUUUCCUGGAGAGCUUCACCGAGAGCCGGGAGGUCGCCGAGCUCAUCGCGAACCUCAGGGGCGUCUUCGGGGAGCUGGUGACCCGGGAGAUGGCCGUGGAGCGGUUCGUGGGUAUAAUGGACAAGUACCAGGAGCAGCCUCACCUUUUGGACCACCACUUAGAGGGGAUGAUGAAUUCCUUGUUGGAUAUAGCACGGGACAAAGGCUCUCCUCCCCCUCUAGUUCACCUGGCUUUUAAAUUUCUUUACAUCAUCACAAAGGUGAGGGGGUACAAACGUUUCCUCCCCCUGUUUCCUCACGAAGUCCGGGACCUGCAGCCUGUUCUGGACAUGCUCGCGGAGCAGAACCCCAGGGAUUCCGAGACCUGGGAGACUCGUUACAUGCUCUUGCUGUGGCUGUCCAUGAUCUGCCUGAUUCCUUUUGAUCUGGCCCGUUUUGAUGGAAACCUUGUUUCAGAGGGAGGGAAGGCUCGGCAGCCGACCAUGGAUCGCAUCCUGGAAGUAGCUAAAUGUUACCUGGUUGUCAGUGACAAGGCUCGGGAUGCAGCUGCUGUGCUGGUGUCCAAGUUUAUUGUUCGCCCUGAUGUCAGGCAAAGCAGGAUGGCAGAAUUCCUGGACUGGGUGCUCUCCAUGUUAUCCAGAUCCUCCUCCCAGACCAUGGAGGGGACUGUCAUUGUGAAUGGCAUGCUCCAGGCCCUGGCACAGCUGUUUAAACAUGGCAAGAGAGAGGAUUGCUUGCCAUAUGCUGUUACUGUGCUCGAGUGUCUGGACAAGUGCAAGUUGUCAGAGAGCAACCAGAUGGUCCUGCGCAAGCUGGGCAUGAAACUGGUUCAGAGGCUGGGACUGACAUUUGUGAAGCCAAAGGUGGCGAAAUGGAGGUACCAGCGUGGCUGUCGCUCUCUGGCUGCCAACCUGCAAGCUCAGGGUGCUGUUGUGCAGAACCAAAAGAGAGAAGCUGCUGCUGAAGCUGAUGAUGAUGAGGAAUAUGACAUCCCAGCGGAGAUUGAAAACGUUGUAGAGCAACUGUUGGUUGGGCUGAAGGACAAAGACACCAUCGUCAGGUGGUCUGCAGCCAAAGGAAUUGGUAGAAUAACUGGAAGACUUCCAAAAGAAUUAGCAGAUGACGUGAUCGGGUCUCUGUUGGACUGUUUCAGUUUCCAGGAGACGGACAACGCGUGGCACGGGGGGUGCCUGGCCCUGGCCGAGCUGGGCAGGAGAGGAUUGCUGCUCCCUUCCCGAAUUUCAGAUGUCGUUCCUGUCAUGCUGAAGGCUCUGACCUACGAUGAGAAGAGGGGGGCCUGCAGCGUGGGCUCCAACGUCAGGGACGCCGCCUGUUACGUGUGCUGGGCCUUCGCCCGCGCCUACGAACCCACAGAGCUGAUACCCUUCAUCAGCCACAUCUCCAGUGCAUUGGUUAUUGCUGCAGUAUUUGAUCGUGACGUUAAUUGCAGAAGAGCUGCUUCUGCUGCCUUCCAGGAGAAUGUUGGGAGACAGGGCACUUUUCCCCAUGGCAUCGACAUUCUCACUGCAGCUGAUUAUUUUGCUGUUGGGAACAGAGUUAACUGUUACCUCACUAUAAGUGUGUAUAUUGCUGGCUUUCCUGAGUAUACACAGCCAAUGAUUGAUCAUUUAGUUAAUAUGAAGAUUAACCACUGGGACAGUGUUAUUCGAGAACUUUCCACCAAAGCCCUGCACAACAUCACUCCCCGGGCCCCCAAGUACAUGGCGAAUGUGGUUUUGCCAAGACUUCUGCCUUUAUCAGUGGGCUCAGAUCUGCACACACGCCAUGGGGCAAUCCUUGCCUGUGCUGAGAUCACCCAUGCUCUGUGUAAACUGGCACAAGAGAAUAAUAGAUCUGUAACGUACUAUUUCAGUGAAAAAUCAUUGGAGGGACUUAAACAAAUCCACCAAGAGCUUUGCAGUCGUCAGUUGUACAGGGGUUUAGGUGGAGAACUGAUGAGACCGGCUGUCUGCACUUUGAUUGAAAAGCUGUCACUAUCAAAAAUGCCAUUUAGAGGAGAUCCCAUAAUUGGUGGUUGGCAGUGGUUAAUAAAUGACAGUCUAAGACAUCUCACUCUUGUUUCCAGUGGUGCACGACAGCACAUAAAGGAGUCUGCAGUGUCUGCACUGGCUGCCCUGUGCAAUGAAUUUUACAUCAAUGAGGAGGGAGAAGCUGAUCCAGCUCUGCAGGAUGAGCUGGUGACACAGUACGUUUCAGAGCUACAAAACACAGAGGAAAUGAUCCGGUGUGGCUUUUCACGAGCUCUUGGGGCCCUUCCAAGGUUUCUGCUGAAGGGCAGGCUCCAACAGGUUUUGGAAGGUUUGAAAAAAGUUACCUUAAUUUCCCCUGAAGAUGUGAGCUUUGCAGAAUCCAGGAGAGAUGCCUUAAUAGCAAUUGCAAAGGUUUGCCAGACAGUGGGUGUGAAGGGAGAAGGAUCCCGGGAGGAAUUUGUGUGCAGGGAUAACGUGGAUGAGAUUUACUCGACGCUGCUCAACGGGGUGACCGACUACACCACGGACAGCCGGGGGGAUGUGGGAGGAUGGGUGCGUGAAGCUGCCAUGACCAGUUUGAUGGAGGUGACGCUGCUGCUGGUCCAGAACGAGGCAGAGUUAAUUAAUGCCAGCAUCUGCAGGCAGAUUAUGUGCUGGCUGGCUCAACAGUCAGCUGAAAAAAUAGAUAAAUUCCGAGCUCAUGCAGGAUCUGUGUUCCUGACCCUCCUACACUUUGACCACCCUCCAGUUCCACACAUCCCUCACAGACAAGAGCUAGAGAGGAUAUUUCCAAGGUCAGAGAAGGAGACUCUGAACUGGAAUGCUGCAUCUGAAGCUUUUCCCCGGAUCACCCAGCUCCUGGCAUUGCCAACCUACCAGUACUUUGUGCUCCUGGGGCUCUCAGUGUCCGUGGGGGGACUCACAGAGACCACGCUCAGAUACUCUGCCCAGAGCCUGUUCGACUACAUGAAGAAAAUCCAGGGUGAUCCCAGUGCUCUGGAGAGUUUCUGUGAGACGUUGCUAAAGGUCUUUGAGGACAACCUGCGGAAUGACCGGGUGUCUGUGCCUGCUCUGAGCUUCCCUGAGCUCCAGCCAUUUGUCAUCCCCAAACCCAAGAGGAAAAAAUCACAAUUUUCAGGGCAUAAAGAGUAGAAAAGGUUUCACCACUGGCUGGUUUGCUUGUAGCAAACGGAUCAAUAGCAAUUGUUAUUUAACUAAAUAAAACCAAGCCAGACUCCAGCUUGCUGGAUCUCCAGGGGUGUAUUUUGUGGCUGAAAAGGUGCCUUUCCUCCUCGGAAAUGGCACUAAAUGUUUUCUAUCUUGUGUGGGUAUUAGGGGAGAGAAACAGGAAAUUUUCUUCUUUCUGGUUUGACCUGGCUUGUGAUGAAUGACACCCUGAGUGCUGGUUAUCAGCCCCUGAGCCCCUGCCCCUCUUCUCAAGGCUGGUGCAGUGUCACUGUAGUCGCUCGUCCAUGAGCAGAUUUGAUUCUGAGGAGUGAUGUUUCAUAGAGGAUUUGCUUUAGAGAAAGAACAGCUGAUGGUUCAUCACAUUCCCUGUUGAAAUUUGUGGAGAGGAGGGAGGUAUUGAGCAGGUCUUUCUGUAGAAAUCAUCUUGUGAAACUGAAAUUUUCCAGUUUGGUAUUUUUUGGUAGAGUUUUUUGAUUUCUCUGAGAUUUUCUAAUGGAGCUUUGGUCCACGGACUGGCUUUUUUUCCCCCACUGUAGGACUACUUUUCUUGAUCAAAAAACCUGAUUUUUCUUUGGGCUGCUCCUUCUCAAAGUGCUGCCCAGACAGAGCAGGGCCUUCUCCUCAAGCUGUGCAACGGCUUCCUGAUGGAAAAUGAUGUCCUCCAGUAGUGAGAAGGGCCUGCACAUUCAUCAUACAACUGCUCCCAUGGAGCAUGAGAGGAGGCUGUUUUACCACCAGGUGAGAUCUCUCUGUCAUUGACUAACAUGGUUCUUUUGGUGGGUCUGGAGACCUUCCCAUUGUGAUGGAGCUUCCAACCUCCACCUCCCUGGACAGCAGGACAGCUAUGGCUCAGCUGUGGCCCUGGGCACUGCCUCUGUGUCCUGCCCAUCCCAGCUGUGCUGUGCUGGAGGAGGUGAGCAGGGAGCUGAGCACUCCCCAGUGAUGGACACUUCGUGUUCCUUCUCCCUCUUGUCUCCUGUGGAGCAGCACGGGAGCAAAGAGCUGGAGGGGACAGAGUGGUUGUGCUGAGCUAAUGACAAUCUCUGGCACAUGAGCUCUGAGGAUUCCCCCUGCUUUGUGCUCUGCCCCCAGAAUGAGUAAAUAAAAGCCUCCUCACUUAUUUAUGAUGCAAAUAGCAACUGUGUGUUCAGCUCUAGGAUUUGUUGAUUAUUUAUUUAGAGCCUCUUGUCUCAGGGGCACUGGCUGUUUGCGUGCAGGAGGCAUCUGUCUGGCCUUAUUACCCACAAAUAGACAUCUUGCUUCUCAGGCUCUGGCUGCUGAUGUUUUGGUAAGUCUGCUGUGAAAACAUAAAUCCUUCCAGGGAGACACAGAUCCCCUGGUCCUUCCUCUUCAGAGUGAGUAGGAGCAGCUUUUUUGAAAUUCCCACUCUGUCCCACUCCCAUGGAGCAGGUGAACACUGAGCUCCUCUGGGCAUGAAGGUUUCUGCUGGGGUAGCACCCAAGAGGAAAGGCUAAAAUCCAGUUGCUGUAGGUCCUCAGCCUCAAAAAGCUAAAGGGAGGGCGGGUGGGAGGUGGAUAUGGGCAGGCAUGAAAACAAGGAGACAGUAUUUGGCCUAAAAUACUAGUGAGGGCUGCUUGGGAUGCCCUUCUUCUCCCCCCAUAAUGGGAGGCUGUGUGCCAGAGGUGCUGGAUUUGUCUUGUUCUAUAAUCAAACACAAAGAGGAGCUCUGUGAGGUUCCAGGAGAGCUGGGAGUGAAUCACUGCUGCCUUGUGAAUGUUAUCCCAAGGUGCCUUUAAAUCCUCCUGGUUCUCCUCAGGUUGGUGGCUGAUUAAGUUCUGGCAUUUGGCUUUAGGAAGAUAAUGACACUCAUUUGAUCCACCUCAGGUCACCCCCUUGGCUUUGAGAGCUGAUGGAGCACAAGCAUUCCUGCAGACAGCUGGAAUCCCUGCAUCCCACUGGUGAUCCAUGGCAUGGGGCAGCUCCAGAGCUUGACUGAGAAAAGGUUGCUGUUAAGCAAGAUAGAUUUUGCUUGGCUCCUUCACUCAUGGCAGGAUUUCCAGGGUUUUCCAGGACUUCAGCUAUUCUCAUGGGUUUUCUCUGAAUCCUCCUUCAGCUUCUCAGCCCACAUCUCAAGCUGACUCGACAUGGAAACACAGCGCAGGGCCCUGGCAGGAGAGGUUCCCCUGCCUCCAAAUCCCAGCCAGCUCCAUCCACAGCCUCCUCUGGCUCUUUGGACACUGAACUUUUCAGCCUGAACCCUCUACAGCGAGUGCUGGACCCCUCAGCUGCGGGACACUUGCUCAGCUCUUGCCUGGUGGCAUGGAGAGGGGGUCAGAAGGACCAGGACCUUGCUGUGCUGGAUGUGAGUUGAUGUGGGUGAUACAAGGAGUUCUGCAGCACCUACCCUGAGUGCAAGGAUGCCAAGUGCAUGAACCUUCAAACAAGACCUUAUGCAUUGAGAGCCUCCUGCCAAAAGGUAGCAGGGAAUCUGAUGUAAAACCAAAAUUUUUCUCCAUUUACCCUGGAAUACAAUAUCCUCCCGAGCUGGCUCCCAUAUUGCCUCACAGAGAUCAGCUGUCCACCAGUCUACCAAUACCUCCCAAACUUGGCUGCAUUUCAGUGCUUGUGGGAUGUUGUAUAAAAAGAACAGGAGGAUGAUUGAGAGGCUCUGUUUCCAAUUGACCUUGGUGCAAAGUGCCUAAAUCUGAGCCCGAGGAUGAAGCUACACCCUGUGUGUGUGGAUGGUUGCAGGAGUUCUUGGUGUCAUGUCUGGUUGGACGUGGGUGUGGUGGUGCUGGAAAGGAAGGAGAGCUUGGAAAAGGAGUUUCCAACAGGGAGCAGCCAAGGGAAACUGGUAGUUUGUAUGCCAAUAAAUUGGAACUGAGAUUACACAGGCAGAGAGUAA